GACGAACCGUGCGAACGUUGUUCGGAUUCACUGGGCUUAAAGGGCGCGUAGGCGGUUUGGACAGUCAGAUGUGAAAUUCCUGGGCUCAACCUGGGGGCUGCAUUUGAUACGUUCGGACUAGAGUGGGGAAGAGGGUCGUGGAAUUCCCAGUGUAGAGGUGAAAUUCGUAGAUAUUGGGAAGAACACCGGUGGCGAAGGCGGCGACCUGGUCCUUGACUGACGCUGAGGCGCGAAAGCGUGGGGAGCAAACAGG
RNAcentral lists this ribosomal RNA (253 nucleotides) under uncultured bacterium. RNAcentral describes it as "partial 16S ribosomal RNA". It matches the Rfam family "Bacterial small subunit ribosomal RNA", at positions 524 to 776 of the family's 1533-position model. The record is from RNAcentral.